This is a long non-coding RNA of Eucalyptus grandis, 1753 nucleotides long. RefSeq lists it as uncharacterized. Lineage: Eukaryota; Viridiplantae; Streptophyta; Magnoliopsida; Myrtales; Myrtaceae. The record is from RefSeq and is a predicted model, not a curated record. The transcript has 6 exons.
GUAUUUGCCUACCGGAUACAAAAGCACUCGUUCCAUGGAGAUCAACUCAGGAUGUGGGAUCUUCGGAAUCAGAGUGAUAAGCGUUCUGUUUAAAGCUGGGGGCAGCACUCCUGUGCUGAAAAAAUUCUGCACUGAGAUUAAUCCUGUCACGACCAUGCGAAAAGGUCGAUUUACUCCAUCUGGCAAGGACUGUAGAGAGAGACUGAAGUUUUCGAUCCAGGGAUGCAAAUUGGAGAUGUGAAGAAUCCCAAGCUUCUACAAUGACCUGUCUACUCUACUGAUGCUGGACCCAAAAAGCUUCAAAAAUGAAGGAUUUAUAACGCUUUUGUUUGGGACCAUCGGUGAGUAAUAGAAGGGGACCGUGGUCGGACGCGAUUGCAGGAAGAGCAAAAACUUCUGCUGCAGGCUGCUGUCGUUGAAGAUAAACCGAAGGCACAUGGAUACAGGGGAUUGUUGCGGUGGCACAAGUUCUGAGCUGGGACAAUCAGCUUGAGGGACCUGCUGGUUGAAUGAAACAGAAGAAACCAGAGGGGUGCUAGGUAAGAGAAGGCGUGAGUGUUGCGGAGUUUCAGGUAUGACCUCCUCAACUCCUUCACCGGUAGUGUCUUCAUCGUAGAAAGCACGCCAAUAUGGGCUAUGUUCCUUAACAUCAGCUCUUAACCAGUGACCAAAGGAUAAAUUAUCUUUCCCAUCUUGUUGUGACUCAGCAUAAGGUAUAGUGGGACAAUACAUGGCAUAAUGUCCGAUAACCCCACAUGAAUAACAAAAGUAGGAUAAUCGUUCAUAUUUGAAAUCCAGCCAUGUAUUCCUACCUUCUAAUCUUAAAAGCUUGCCUGGUUGUAGAGGCUGUUGUAAAUUAAGGUCGACACGAGCCCUACCUGCCCGUAAUGUCGUAUUUUCCCUGCCUUCAAGUUUCACCUGCUGCACCGUACCAAGAUGCCUCAUAAUUCUACUGAUAAUCUCCUCUGUACAACGCUCAAUAGGAAGGCCGAAGAUGUGCACCCAGAAGGCACAGGUAUUGAAAUCAUAAUGAUGCAGAGGAGUGUUGGGCAACCAGGGCUUCAAGAUAACAAGGAACAGCUUCAUCCCAUACUUCAACCUCUUGCGGUGACCAAAGGCGACCUAAUCUGGUGCAAAGAGCAGCAAGGCGUACAUCUCCGUCCUGACUUGAGGAUGCCAUCUGCAUGCAUGUCUUGGAACCGGAUGGAAGAAGCUUCGCAAAGGACUAUGGAGAGGGAACAGUCAACUACCUCAAGAAAGGAACGAAUCCCAGUAAAGUAUAGUGAAAGAUAUAGGAAAGAUACUCAGAUAAAAAGCGUCCAUUGAUGCCGGGCAUGGAUGUGAAUUAUGUAUGGAACGAAGAAACAAGACAGCGGAGAAUUGCGAGAACGAUAUAGAAAUUGACGUGAAUUAUGGAUGGAACGAAGAAACAAGACAGCAGAGAAUUGCGAAAAGGAAGGCCAUAGCUGGAUACUGUUAAUCUGGAAGAAAAAUCGAGUGAUGAAACAUACUGACGGAUGAACCGAGGAGAUUAGAUUUGGGUUUGAGGGUUUGGUACUGAAGUGCUACCACUAGGUAGUGAAAACUCUACAAGGCGAGAGAGAAACCUGACAUUCGCAGGAAUUCGACUUUGAAUAGUUCAAGUGGGGGGCAUCACUGGCUCGAAACUACUUUGCUCUAGAAAUGCAUGUUAUUAAAGUGUACUAAUUUCUAAUAUCUUAUUCACCUCUUAAGAAGCAUGCCCAUGCUAAAA